This 455-nucleotide ribosomal RNA is filed under the name uncultured bacterium. Its description in RNAcentral is "bacterial SSU rRNA". It matches the Rfam family "Bacterial small subunit ribosomal RNA", at positions 1 to 503 of the family's 1533-position model. The record is from RNAcentral.
UCGAUUAGAGUUUGAUCAUGGCUCAGAACGAACGCUGGCGGCAUGCCUAACACAUGCAAGUCGAACGAAGGCUUCGGCCUUAGUGGCGCACGGGUGCGUAACGCGUGGGAAUCUGCCCUUGGGUUCGGAAUAACAGUUAGAAAUGACUGCUAAUACCGGAUGAUGACGAAAGUCCAAAGAUUUAUCGCCCAGGGAUGAGCCCGCGUAAGAUUAGGUAGUUGGUGGGGUAAAGGCUCACCAAGCCGACGAUCCUUAGCUGGUCUGAGAGGAUGAUCAGCCACACUGGGACUGAGACACGGCCCAGACUCCUACGGGAGGCAGCAGUGGGGAAUAUUGGACAAUGGGCGCAAGCCUGAUUCAGCAAUGCCGCGUGAGUGAUGAAGGCCUUAGGGUCGUAAGGCUCUUUUACCCGGGAUGAUAAUGACAGUACCUGGAGAAUAAGCUCCGGCUAACUC